ACGUACGUCCGUACGCUCCGGUUCCUGCGCGCUGGCCGAGCACAGCUGAGGCCCGCUCGCGACGUGGGCUGAGCG
This 75-nucleotide small RNA is filed under the name Metapseudomonas resinovorans NBRC 106553. RNAcentral's name for it is "Pseudomonas resinovorans NBRC 106553 Xanthomonas sRNA sX9". It matches the Rfam family "Xanthomonas sRNA sX9". Lineage: Bacteria; Pseudomonadati; Pseudomonadota; Gammaproteobacteria; Pseudomonadales; Pseudomonadaceae. The record is from Rfam by way of RNAcentral.